This 2195-nucleotide long non-coding RNA is filed under the name Oryctolagus cuniculus (rabbit). Its description in RNAcentral is "lncRNA (ENSOCUG00000030524.1)". The record is from RNAcentral. Lineage: Eukaryota; Metazoa; Chordata; Mammalia; Lagomorpha; Leporidae.
CCACUGAUCGUCUCCGAGAUGGCCGUGGCUGCGGCUGGAUGACGCCACCGCCCGGGCCACUCCCUGGGCGCUCUUAGAAGUGCUUGUCCCCUCACGAAUCCCCCAGCAGCCUGGGAUGCCGCCAUCUUCCCUGAAUUACCGCACGGCAGAGGCUCGCCACGCCAGAGCUCGGUGUGUGCCCCGCUCGCGCCAGGUCAGUGGGAGACCUCUCGUCCCAAAGCAGUGUCUGCGUGCAACCUGGCCCCGACGCCAGCAGCACAGAGCCCGGGUGUCCACGGCACCGACGGCUCACGGCAGAGGUACCCAGCGGACAAAACCGGCGUCCCCGCAGCAGUGCCCACGCCUGCCGGCCGGAGGUGCUCCGAGCGUCUUGCCUCUCUGGUCUGGGGGCCGGCUUACGAGGGACAGCGGCUUCCGGAGGGCGGGCAGGCAGGCAGGAGGGUCGGUGUCACCAGCGUCACAUGCCGGGAACGCAUGCAGCCAGCCAGCGUGCAGAUGCGUGAGUUCCCGGGCGAGACUGCAGGGGGCGCACAGCCCACGGCUGAGCAACGUGCAGGAAGGCUCAGCCUUCACGCGUGACACAGACCAGCGGCCACGGCGGGCGCGGCGGCUCCGCCCAGCCCCCGGCUCACUCUCCAGGUCCCGCAGGGCCAGCGAGGACCCCUGGGGUGGGUGGCACGGGGCCGAGGUGGGGACCGGCAGGGAGAGGCAACACCGGCGGUGUUUUCCACACCAGAAACAGCCCCUGCUCAUCGGGGGCUGCGGGCGGUCUACACAGACCUCAGCUCGGCCGGACUCUCGCGGUGGGACAGGGACCUCGGAGAGCCUCAGGCGCCGUCCCUCCUUAAGGCCUCAGCUCGGAGAGGAAGGUGGGGGCGCCCUCCCCUCCCCAGCUAGGCUCUUCCAGGGGCUGCUCACUGCUUGCGGUGCCGACCGUGGGCAGCCCCGUAAAGGCACUGUGCGAUGCCAUACACACCUUGGAAGGCCCUGGGACUCCACCGAGGGCCCAGAGAGCUGUGAUCCCCGCCCCAGCUCCAGCCCGUCAGCUGCCUGGGGGGGCAGGGCAGGGGUGCCCAGAGGCCGAGCAUCCUCCCUGGGCAGGGCCAGGGCUUGCACCGCGAAGACAUGGAGGCAGAGGACAGAGGCCCCAGGCAGGUGGGCGCAGACCCCACCCCCACCUGGUGCCUGGGCCUGAGCUGAGACACCCGCCACCCAGUGGCCCCUGGGAGGCCUGGCCCCUGGCCCGGGACCCAGCACGCCAGGUUCCCUUGGGAGCGUCUGGGGGGGCCAGCCCAGCAGCCAGGACCACGCCCCAGGACCCAGGGACAACGGGGCCAGCAAGCGUAGGCCUGAGCUGUCCCACCCCAGCCCCCACCAUGACCAGCACAGACUCCCUGGGCCACCUCGGUCUGGAUCUGGAUACAACAGGGCGACGAUGGGGGGUGGGGGGGACAAGGGCGCUGCCCUGCCUGGGAGCCCAUCACUGCGGCUUUAGGAAUCCAAGGGGCUCCCCUGCCCCGCUCCUGCUAGGGCAGAGUGAAGCCGGCCCCUCGGGAAAAGCAAGAAGCCCGGAACAUUCGUGGUGCAUUUUUAUUGCUCGAGUGCGUGGUGCGCAGGCGCGGGGGCUGAGCCGCACAGUCAGGAGCCGCAGAACUGGGGGCGCCCUGGCCGGGCCACGGUCCCUGGUUCGGUGCGGGGCUCACGUGGCAGGGGCCGAUUGCCGGGGUGGGGGGUUCUCUCUGGGAGGUAGGAGCUCCUGAUCCCAGGCCAUGUGGGUGCUGGGCUGUGCCCUUCAGCUUCCGUAAGACUUUUAGGGUUAGCCAUGAGCAGAGGACCCGGGCCUGAUGCUCUGAUGAGGCCGAGCAGCAGGGGGUUCUGGGAUGAAGCCUCCGUGCCUGGCUCCCCGGGUGGGAGGGCCAUGCUUCUGCAUCCUGGCGCCCGGCUUGGCCGUCCACUCGGCCUGCAGGCCUGCACCGUGCAGGGGCAAGCAGCGGGGAGCCAGCCGGGCCCUCCCUCCUGCCCCCCGGCCAAUGUGCUGUCUCCACGGACUCUCCCCAGACACAGCUUUCUGAUUAAAAUUCUUAUUUUCUCCACACCUCUGUCCCCCGUUUUCCUCUAGAACACAAGCAACCAGCUGUUACUCAGGCGCUGGUCACGACACAGAGAGGGGACACCAUGUGUCCCUUCUCGAAGAC